This 490-nucleotide ribosomal RNA is filed under the name uncultured bacterium. Its description in RNAcentral is "partial 16S ribosomal RNA". It matches the Rfam family "Bacterial small subunit ribosomal RNA", at positions 30 to 507 of the family's 1533-position model. The record is from RNAcentral.
AUUGAACGCUGGCGGCAGGCCUAACACAUGCAAGUCGAACGGUAACAGGAAGCAGCUUGCUGCUUUGCUGACGAGUGGCGGACGGGUGAGUAAUGUCUGUGAAACUGCCUGAUGGAGGGGGAUAACUACUGGAAACGGUAGCUAAUACCGCAUAACGUCGCAAGACCAAAGAGGGGGACCUUCGGGCCUCUUGCCAUCUGAUGUGCCCAGAUGGGAUUAGCUAGUAGGUGGGGUAACGGCUCACCUAGGCGACGAUCCCUAGCUGGUCUGAGAGGAUGACCAGCCACACUGGAACUGAGACACGGUCCAGACUCCUACGGGAGGCAGCAGUGGGGAAUAUUGCACAAUGGGCGCAAGCCUGAUGCAGCCAUGCCGCGUGUAUGAAGAAGGCCUUCGGGUUGUAAAGUACUUUCAGCGGGGAGGAAGGGAGUAAAGUUAAUACCUUUGCUCAUUGACGUUACCCGCAGAAGAAGCACCGGCUAACUCCGUG